RNAcentral lists this small RNA (27 nucleotides) under Bombyx mori (domestic silkworm). RNAcentral describes it as "ovarian small RNA-5518". The record is from RNAcentral. Lineage: Eukaryota; Metazoa; Arthropoda; Insecta; Lepidoptera; Bombycidae.
GUGUGAUGGACUACAAUAGUGGACUAA